AUACGGAGGGUGCAAGCGUUACUCGGAAUCACUGGGCGUAAAGGACGCGUAGGCGGGUUGGUAAGUCAGGUGUGAAAUCCUACAGCUUAACUGUAGAACUGCACUUGAAACUGCUAACCUAGAGUAUGGGAGGGGGAGAUGGAAUUAGUGGUGUAGGGGUAAAAUCCGUAGAUAUCACUAGGAAUACCGAAAGCGAAGGCGAUCUCCUGGAACAUAACUGACGCUAAGGCGUGAAAGCGUGGGGAGCAAACAGGAUUAGAAACCCCAGUAGUCC
This 274-nucleotide ribosomal RNA is filed under the name uncultured bacterium. RNAcentral describes it as "partial 16S ribosomal RNA". It matches the Rfam family "Bacterial small subunit ribosomal RNA", at positions 523 to 796 of the family's 1533-position model. The record is from RNAcentral.